This is a long non-coding RNA of Lotus japonicus, 3346 nucleotides long. RefSeq lists it as uncharacterized. The transcript is spliced from 2 exons. The record is from RefSeq and is a predicted model, not a curated record. NCBI's taxonomy places the organism in Eukaryota, Viridiplantae, Streptophyta, Magnoliopsida, Fabales, Fabaceae.
UAGUAAUUUAAGAAACCAUGGGUUGGAGCAAAAUCUGGUUCAGUUCCUUAUGAGUUUCUUAAGUCUGAUGUGGCAGUACAGGCCCACAGGAAUAGUGCAGAAUAGUGCUGAAUAGUGUGUUAAGAAACCAGAUAAGUAACCAAUGGUCGGAGUUGCUCUUAUAGAAAAUAGAGCACUACAGUUGAGUGAAGCGAUGGCACGAGAACCCCACGUUUCUUUUUUCAAUCUACUCUGCUCUUCUUUUUUCUUUACAGUACUUAACCAGUUGUACAGAUAGGUUGGAUUUUAUGUGUGUGUGGUAAGUGGCUCUUUCAGUUUGAGGAAGAGAGAGAAAGAGUGUGUCUGUGAGAAAGGAGAAGGUUGAUGGAAGAAAGAAAAACACUCUAGUUUUCUGCUUCUCUAUAGUAACUUGCAAAAGUGUUUCCUUACUGGGAAAAGAAAAAGAUGAUCUUUGCUUACCUUUGUUUUGAUUUCUUUUGGAAACAGUGCUUUACCAGAUUUGUAUAUUAGAUCUUCAAUCGCUUUCCUUUCUCUGACUCUAAUGAAGACAGUGACACUAGCUUCUAUCCUCUCUCUCUCUCUGCUAUUUCUUUAACAUUUCAUCUCUUCACUGAUUUCUGCUUCUGACCCUUCAACUCUCUUCCUUUCCUUUUAAUUUCAUAAUUUUUUUGCACUAGUUUCUUCUUUGAUUUAACAUAUUUACUCAGCCUUGUGAUGCUCUUAUGCAUAUUUUUCCUUACCCAUUUGGUUCUAUUUCUUUCAGCUAUUUGCUCUUGUUUUGAACUUUGUAGUUGAAGCUUCGGAUUCAUGUUUGGGCUUAUGAGAAUGGUAAAGCUGUAAGUCUAAGAUGUUAAUUUGACUCAAGUGCUGCUUUUUUCAUUAUACCAAAUAAUUAAGUUGAUCCUUUAAUUUUGCUCCUUAACAAUUUUACAUGGCACAUGCUUCUAAUUGGAGAAAGUAUCUCUUGUUUAUAGUAUAAGGUGAUGUUAUGACUUAUGAUGUAUUCUCUUUUGUUGAAGGAAAAUGUCUUUGAGAAAAUCUUAACAUGUCUUAUUUCCAAUUUUUGUUUUCUUUGGUUUGGUAGUUUUAAGACUUAGGGUUAGGGUUCUUUAAUUAUUUGAAUACCUUUCAAAUCAAUGAAAAACCAAUUACUUUCAUUGGCAUAAUAUUUCAGAGUGCCGUGAACUUCUAAUUCCUAAUUUAUCAACAUAUUUGAAAUGGGUAGGAUUUGAAUUGUGUGCAUAAUUAGUUCCUAAUUUUUUGAAUAUCGUCUCAUUUUGAUUUUCUUAUGUUAGAUCUGUUACAAUAUUCAUUCGUAUUCCUGUUUUCAUAUUAGUUCCUUUUCAAAUGCAAUUAUUUUUCUGGGCUUGGUUUAUAUUUGAAGAUGUUACAUUAGGAAUUAGUUGAGGGGAGCUUCCUUCAGUCCACUCAUGGAUGGGUAAGGGGUUAGAAUUAGCUGCUGACUCAUUCAUUCAAACACAAUAGAUCAGGCAACAUGGUAUGCUGUUGUGAAUGUGUGAAUGAUGCGGGAGGUAAAUUUCUUCCUAUUCUUGUCUUUGCUUGGACUGAAGGGAGCUCCCUUUUAUAUUGUUUACAAUAUUAUCUUCUUAUCUUUCACUUGGUUACUCUUUUUUCAUACAUUCAUUCUGAUUUUUUUUUGGUAAAUAUGCCUUCAUUUUAUAACAUGUUUGAAUCAUUAUCUAUUUCUUGAUCAAAUUCAAUUCUGAUAUUCAUAAGCUGCUUACAGAAGCUUGUUUCCAUAAUCGGUUCUGGCUUUAGAAAUUACAGAAGAAUAUCUAAACAUGCCCUUGGUGAAUUCUCUCUUUCAUCAUGCUACCAGGUACAGUGUUUUCACCUGGAAAACACAUCAAAUAGAAGCUCAAGGAAGCAACCUUGGAUUUUCCCUAAGUACUUGUGUGAUGCACUGAUGCUUGUUCUUUGAGUAACGUUGUUGUUGUUGUUGUAGUAGUUAUUGCAUAGUAAAGUGAUCAAUCUUCUGGACUCUGACCACUUUUGCAGUGACUAGAAUUGAAUAUUAAGCCGCGCAACAGGUACUGGAAACUCUGUCUAACUAUGCAUGCUAGCUAGGCUCUGCCUUUAAUUAGAUGUUGGAACUUGGAGCUAUAACGUUCCACUUUAAUUUGUUUGACAUUCCUGACGUCUAUAUUAUUACUCCAUAAAUAAUCAUCACAUAUAUAAUUUCCUCUUUCCAAUACAGCUUUUACAUUCAACUUAAUUAGUGUGUGUUUAGACUUCCGUUGAAUUUAACUUUAUCAUAAUUUCCCAUUCAUGUUAAAUUUAGUGAUAAUGACAGUUUGAAAAAGGGUGGUUGAGACGAUGGCAAUGGUGGAGCGUGGAGGGUGUGGUUGCAGCAACGGUGAUAGAGGAGGUGGAGUGAUAUCACAUGUUAUAGAAACUAAAAAAUAAAAUCACAAAACCAUACUUUUUACUUUUAAAAAUUAGGCAAAAAAACAUUUUAAAAUUGAGUAAAACUAUAUCAGCUUUACUUUUGUCGAGCACAUUUUAUUUUUGAAUUUAUAUUUGAAAACUAAAAAUCAGAAAUUGACAUACUCGUCCCGGACGGCCUAAGCAAUAGUAAAUAUUACUUUUGAAGAUUGUGAGUUUCAAAAAAAAAUUUGUUGACAUAUUAUAUUUUCCUUGGAAAGAUCAUAUAUUUGUUGAUUAUAUUAUUUAAUUCAUGAUGAUAAAUUACGGUAAAGCGGUUUCCUUUUUUAGUUUUUUUCUAUGGACUUCCAUAAGUGCUAGAUAAUAUUUUAUUAAGUCUGCAUGUGUCUCACUGAACUAAAACUAGCCUAGUUACUUAAUUAGGAGUUCUUAAUGCAAGUACAGUUGAACUGGAUCUAUCACAUUUAUUACCAAUUUGUUUAAUUCUAGAUAUUUUGAUAAAAGGCAUGUGAUUGUACUAAAUCAUAAAGUUCCCUUAAAUUAGAAUUUGAUGUACCCUUUUGCCUAUUAAAAUUUGCCAUGUUCUAAUUAUAAUGUUCCAUGUUGAUGUCAUUCAAAUGCAGGACCACUAAUCCUUCAUGUGUUUCAAGGUAUCUGUCAUUUUCAAUUUUCUCAUGCCCUGCAUGGCACGUGUUAAAACCCCAUUUGUCAAAUCAAGUUCUUGGAAGAAGUUAUGCUGUGAAUUAAAAAAAUCAUCUCUUUUAAUUUGAGGUUUAAUUAAUGCAAAAAUAACAAAACAAGUACAGUUUUUAUGUGUAUAUAUAUUUGAACUCUGCAGUUCCUGAUGCUAGCUCAUGAAUGAAUGGUGGUCCUUGGUCCACUCCAAAGUGAAUCUGAUUUUGCAUGCUAAUUAUUUAUAUGGCACUUAAUUUUCUCCACA